GCAGGGUCUAUCGUCCAAUAAAAACGCUCGGCGCUAGUUUUGACCGUGUGUUUUUUCCUCACGCGAGCGUUUGUAUCACAUCGGCGUAUGGCGCCAAUUUGUAAAGGUCAUAAGUCGAGACAUACAUCGAGUCUGUCAAUUUGUCCGCCAGUAAAUUCUGCAGGGCCGUGCCACCUGGCCAUCGAGGCGCCCCCCUACCCGGCCACGCGGGCCAUACAUCGAGUCUGACACUUUUGCCCUCCAGUAAAUUCUGUUUAAAGUUUUGUUUUCACAUACGUCCCAAAUUACAGAUAAUUUUCUUACACAGGCACGAGUAGCAUCAUCAAGGCCGUACCACCUGGUCAUACAUCAAGUCUGACAAUUUCCCCGCCAGUAAAUUCUGUUUAUAGUUUUGUUUGUCAUACAUGACCGUGCAGAUAUGGGGUGACAGAGACAAUUAAAUUGUAUUGCGGCGAGCGGGGGGGGGGGCCUAUUCCUCCUAGGGCAGAGGCACAAGUAUCUUCGAGGUCUUACCCUUCCUGCCAGCCAAAGAGGUUCAUCCAGGCCUUACCCGAGAGAGAGACUGCGCUGACCGGUCAAGAGAAAAUCUACAAGAGACCUGAAUCAGCAGUGUUAUAAAGCACAUAGCCAACGCUAAUUAAUAAAGAAUUUAAGCAUAAUAGCCCAGACGUACCAUGGCCUAUAGCUGGUAGAAACGGAGCUAUCCUACGGCCUACAAGAUAAAAGCAUAUGGCACCAAAUUGGAAUCAGUAGUCUUUAAAAGAAUAAAUGGACUAGCAACUGUCUCUGGGGGAGCAGCCCCGGUUAGGUACUAUUAAGCAGCAUUUAGUGACAUGCAUCAAAACACAUUUUUUAAAACUUUGACAGAAUAAAGUCUUAGUUAUUUUAAUAAA
This is a long non-coding RNA of Brienomyrus brachyistius, 893 nucleotides long. RefSeq lists it as uncharacterized. The record is from RefSeq and is a predicted model, not a curated record. The transcript is spliced from 2 exons. Lineage: Eukaryota; Metazoa; Chordata; Actinopteri; Osteoglossiformes; Mormyridae.